RNAcentral lists this ribosomal RNA (245 nucleotides) under uncultured bacterium. RNAcentral's name for it is "partial small subunit ribosomal RNA". It matches the Rfam family "Bacterial small subunit ribosomal RNA", at positions 26 to 285 of the family's 1533-position model. The record is from RNAcentral.
AGAAUCAACGCUGGCGGCGUGCCUAACACAUGCAAGUCGAACGAGAAAGGGUAGCAAUACCUGAGUAAAGUGGCGCACGGGUGAGUAACACGUGACUAACCUACCUUUUAGUGGGGGAUAACCUAGGGAAACCUGGGCUAAUACCGCAUAAUACCUACGGGUCAAAGCAGCAAUGCGCUGAAAGAGGGGGUCGCGGUCGAUUAGUUAGUUGGCAGGGUAAUGGCCUACCAAGACUGUGAUCGAUA